AGAGUUUGAUCCUGGCUCAGGACGAACGCUGGCGGCGUGCUUAACACAUGCAAGUCGAACGGAGUACCCUCGAAAGAGAUUUCGGUCAAUGGAGAGGACUACUUAGUGGCGGACGGGUGAGUAACGCGUGAGGAACCUGCCUUUCAGAGGGGGACAACAGUUGGAAACGACUGCUAAUACCGCAUAACGUACGGGUAUCGCAUGGUACUGGUACCAAAGAUUUAUCGCUGAGAGAUGGCCUCGCGUCUGAUUAGCUAGUUGGUAGGGUAACGGCCUACCAAGGCGACGAUCAGUAGCCGGACUGAGAGGUUGGCCGGCCACAUUGGGACUGAGAUACGGCCCAGACUCCUACGGGAGGCAGCAGUGGGGAAUAUUGGGCAAUGGGCGCAAGCCUGACCCAGCAACGCCGCGUGAAGGAAGAAGGCUUUCGGGUUGUAAACUUCUUUUGACAGGGAAGAGCAGAAGACGGUACCUGUCGAAUAAGCCACGGACUAACUACGUG
This 502-nucleotide ribosomal RNA is filed under the name uncultured Oscillibacter sp. RNAcentral's name for it is "bacterial SSU rRNA". It matches the Rfam family "Bacterial small subunit ribosomal RNA", at positions 8 to 507 of the family's 1533-position model. The record is from RNAcentral. Lineage: Bacteria; Bacillati; Bacillota; Clostridia; Eubacteriales; Oscillospiraceae.